Molecule: long non-coding RNA, 488 nt
Organism: Alligator sinensis (Chinese alligator)
Lineage: Eukaryota; Metazoa; Chordata; Crocodylia; Alligatoridae
Exons: 3
Source: RefSeq, a predicted model, not a curated record
UUUCUAGCAGGAUGGGGUCCGUGGCUCUAUCACCAUGCAGCCGUCCCCGAAAUGCACUUGCCCAACAGGGAAGUUGAUCUACAUUUCCUGACCGCAGCUAGAUCAUCUUACUUCCAGUUUCCAUUAAGCUAUCCACUGGCAAGUGCUUCUAGCAAGUGACUUUCAGGACAUGGUAGUAUAAAUUACAGAGGAAAAUAGUGGAAGCAUGUGUGAUGGAUCUCUCUAGUGGCUAGUUCAAGUAGAAGAGAACUGUAUACUACUGCUGCUUUCAUGGCGAGACUCCUACAGCUCAAGUGGUGGAGGCUUGUGUGCUGGUGUCCAAGUAGCACCUUGAUGAGGAUGAUGGGGAGAGGUUAUUGCUCAGGCCCACAGAGGAUGGGUUAGGAAUUGCUCAGAACUUUCCCCUGGCUCGAUGGGCAAACCAAAGGAUGGAGGAGAGCAGUGACUCCCAUAAGGUCACCCACUGAGCCAGAUGGCAGAGCCAAGGC